AACGUGGGAAGGCUUGAUCUA
Molecule: microRNA, 21 nt
Filed under: Zea mays
Lineage: Eukaryota; Viridiplantae; Streptophyta; Magnoliopsida; Poales; Poaceae
Description: microRNA miR-3081
Source: RNAcentral